AUACGUAGGUGACAAGCGUUAUCCGGAUUUACUGGGCGUAAAGGGCGCGUAGGCGGCGCGGUAAGUCUGGAGUGAAAGUCCUGCUUUCAAGGUGGGAAUUGCUUUGGAUACUGCCGCGCUUGAGUGCAGGAGAGGUGAUCGGAAUUUCCGGUGUAGCGGUGAAAUGCGUAGAGAUCGGGAGGAAUACCAGUGGCGAAGGCGGGUAACUGGACUGCAACUGACGCUGAGGCGCGAAAGUGUGGGGAGCAAACAGGAUUAGAUACCCUGGUAGUCCACACUGUAAACGAUGAAUGCUAGGUGUAAGAGGUAUCGACCCCUUUUGUGCCGGAGUCAACACAAUAAGCAUUCCGCCUGCGGAGUACGGCCGCAAGGUUGAAACUCAAAUGAAUUGGCGGGG
Molecule: ribosomal RNA, 397 nt
Filed under: uncultured bacterium
Lineage: Bacteria
Description: partial 16S ribosomal RNA
Rfam family: Bacterial small subunit ribosomal RNA
Source: RNAcentral